RNAcentral lists this ribosomal RNA (497 nucleotides) under uncultured bacterium. RNAcentral's name for it is "partial 16S ribosomal RNA". It matches the Rfam family "Bacterial small subunit ribosomal RNA", at positions 28 to 507 of the family's 1533-position model. The record is from RNAcentral.
GAUGAACGCUGGCGGCGUGCCUAAUACAUGCAAGUCGAGCGAACAGACGAGGAGCUUGCUCCUCUGACGUUAGCGGCGGACGGGUGAGUAACACGUGUAUAACCUACCUAUAAUACUGGGAUAACUUCGGGAAACCGGAGCUAAUACCGGAUAACAUGCUGAACCGCAUGGUUCAACAGUGAAAGACGGUCUUGCUGUCACUUAUAGAUGGAUCCGCGCCGCAUUAGCUAGUUGGUAAGGUAACGGCUUACCAAGGCAACGAUGCGUAGCCGACCUGAGAGGGUGAUCGGCCACACGAGAACGGAGACACGGUCCAGACUCCUACGGGAGGCAGCAGUAGGGAAUCUUCCGCAAUGGGCGAAAGCCUGACGGAGCAACGCCGCGUGAGUGAAGAAGGUCUUCGGAUCGUAAAACUCUGUUAUUAGGGAAGAACAAAUGUGUAAGUAACUAUGCACGGCUUGACGGUACCUAAUCAGAAAGCCACGGCUAACUACGUG